This 253-nucleotide ribosomal RNA is filed under the name uncultured bacterium. Its description in RNAcentral is "partial 16S ribosomal RNA". It matches the Rfam family "Bacterial small subunit ribosomal RNA", at positions 524 to 776 of the family's 1533-position model. The record is from RNAcentral.
UACGAACUGUGCAAACGUUAUUCGGAAUCACUGGGCUUAAAGGGCGCGUAGGCGGCUUGCCAAGUCCGGGGUGAAAGCCCCCAGCUCAACUGGGGAAGGGCCUCGGAUACUGGCGAGCUCGAGGGAGGUAGGGGUCGAGGGAACUUCUGGUGGAGCGGUGAAAUGCGUUGAUAUCAGAAGGAACGCCGGUGGCGAAAGCGCUCGACUGGAUCUCUACUGACGCUGAGGCGCGAAAGCUAGGGGAGCAAACGGG